RNAcentral lists this ribosomal RNA (477 nucleotides) under uncultured soil bacterium. Its description in RNAcentral is "bacterial SSU rRNA". It matches the Rfam family "Bacterial small subunit ribosomal RNA", at positions 26 to 518 of the family's 1533-position model. The record is from RNAcentral.
AGGACGAACGCUGGCGGCGUGCUUAACACAUGCAAGUCGAACGGUGAACCGGGCUUCGGCCUGGGGAUCAGUGGCGAACGGGUGCGUAACACGUGGGCAACCUGCCCCAGACUCAGGGAUAACCCCGGGAAACCGGGGCUAAUACCCGAUACUCCGAUCGAACCACAUGGCUCGAUCGGGAAAGCUCCGACGGUCUGGGAUGGGCCCGCGGCCUAUCAGCUUGUUGGUGGGGUAACGCCUACCAAGGCGACGACGGUAGCUGGUCUGAGAGGACGACCAGCCACACUGGAACUGAGAUACGGUCCAGACUCCUACGGGAGGCAGCAGUGGGGAAUCUUGCACAAUGGGCGAAAGCCUGAUGCAGCGACGCCGCGUGGGGGACGAAUGCCUUCGGGUUGUAAACCCCUUUCGGCAGGGACGAAGCGCAAGUGACGGUACCUGCAGAAGAAGCUCCGGCUAACACGUGCCAGCAGCCGC